RNAcentral lists this ribosomal RNA (273 nucleotides) under uncultured bacterium. Its description in RNAcentral is "partial 16S ribosomal RNA". It matches the Rfam family "Bacterial small subunit ribosomal RNA", at positions 524 to 796 of the family's 1533-position model. The record is from RNAcentral.
UACGUAGGGUGCGAGCGUUGUCCGGAAUUAUUGGGCGUAAAGGGCUCGUAGGCGGUUUGUCGCGUCGGGAGUGAAAACUCAGGGCUUAACCCUGAGCCUGCUUCCGAUACGGGCAGACUAGAGGUAUGCAGGGGAGAACGGAAUUCCUGGUGUAGCGGUGAAAUGCGCAGAUAUCAGGAGGAACACCGGUGGCGAAGGCGGUUCUCUGGGCAUUACCUGACGCUGAGGAGCGAAAGUGUGGGGAGCGAACAGGAUUAGAAACCCUGGUAGUCC